CCUACGGGUGGCUGCAGUGGGGAAUAUUGCACAAUGGGGGAAACCCUGAUGCAGCGACGCCGCGUGAGUGAAGAAGUAUUUCGGUACGUAAAGCUCUAUCAGCAGGGAAGAAAAUGACGGUACCUGACUAAGAAGCCCCGGCUAACUACGUGCCAGCAACCGCGGUAAUACGUAGGGGGCAAGCGUGAUCCGGAUUUACUGGGUGUAAAGGGAGCGUAGACGGCGAUGCAAGUCUGAAGUGAAAGGCGGGGGCCCAACCCCUGGACUGCUUUUGAAACCGGAUGGCUGGAGUGCAGGAGAGGUAAGUGGAAGUCCUAGUGGAGCGGUGAAAUGCGUAGAUAUUAGGAGGAACACCAGGGGCGAAGGCGGCUUACUGGACUGUAACUGACGUUGAGGCUCGAAAGCGUGGGGAGCAAACAGGAUUAGAUACCCUGGUAGUC
Molecule: ribosomal RNA, 440 nt
Filed under: uncultured bacterium
Lineage: Bacteria
Description: partial 16S ribosomal RNA
Rfam family: Bacterial small subunit ribosomal RNA
Source: RNAcentral